Rhopalosiphum padi (bird cherry-oat aphid) is the source of this 600-nucleotide long non-coding RNA. RefSeq lists it as uncharacterized. The record is from RefSeq and is a predicted model, not a curated record. The transcript is spliced from 3 exons. Lineage: Eukaryota; Metazoa; Arthropoda; Insecta; Hemiptera; Aphididae.
UAAGUGAUAUAUGUCCAACGAUUUAAUAUACUAUUUAGUAACUUGUAAGUAUACGAUAUGUUGAUACAUCGCGAUCGUUAUCAAUUUAUAGACGAUUUCAUUUUCUAUCGCAAACAAUUUUGGUUUACAUUGAAUUUUCCAUUUGGUUGUUCAAAAUAUUUGGAACAGUACAGGUGGAGCAGUACUACCUAUAUACAUUAUACAAUAUACAGUAAGCUGAACACAGUAAUCAUACUACAAUCAUUUACACAAUGGAAAGUGGAGUGUUAGAAAGAAAACCGUUCCAUUUUCACACUUUUGCUGUCGUCCUUUGUGUUUGAAAUCGAUUAUCACACAGUUUGGAACAAUCGGGCACUUAUAGAAAAACGGUGCAAAUCUUCGGGGCAGAAAAAUGAAUAUUUGUUAACAUUUGGUUUCGAGUUGAACAAGUUUAGAAAUUAGAAAUUGAAUGCAUUCAAGGACUAAAAUGCUCUUCAGAAUAUCAUACAAAAAUACAAAAACAUUUUUACUCUCAAAUGUCUCAAUCAUUUAAAAAUGAAAUAAUAAUCCAAUAUGCUUACUAUUCAGCUUUGAAUUGUAUUAAUGGAUCCUAAAAAUUCU